AUUGAACGCUGGCGGCAGGCUUAACACAUGCAAGUCGAGCGAGCGGCGGACGGGUGAGUAAUGUCUGGGAAACUGCCUGAUGGAGGGGGAUAACCACUGGAAACGGUAGCUAAUACCGCAUACCAUCAGAUGUACCCAGAUGGGAUUAGCGAGUAGGCGGGGUAAUGGCUAGCCUAGGCGACGAUCCAUAGCUGGUCUGAGAGGAUAACCAGCCACACUGGAACUGGGACACGGUCCAGACUCCUACGGGAGGCAGCAGUGGGGAAUAUUGCACAAUGGGCGCAAGCCUGAGGCAGCCAUGCCGCGUGUGUGAAGAAGGCCUUCGGGUUGUAAAGCACUUUCAGCGAGGAGGCGUUACUCGCAGAAGAAGCACCGGCUAACUCCGUGCCAGCAGCCGCGGUAAUUC
Molecule: ribosomal RNA, 406 nt
Filed under: uncultured bacterium
Lineage: Bacteria
Description: partial 16S ribosomal RNA
Rfam family: Bacterial small subunit ribosomal RNA
Source: RNAcentral